UGAGAAAAUGCCUCAAUAAGAGUUGCUGUA
This 30-nucleotide non-coding RNA is filed under the name Mus musculus (house mouse). The record is from RNAcentral. Lineage: Eukaryota; Metazoa; Chordata; Mammalia; Rodentia; Muridae.